Non-coding RNA from Callorhinus ursinus (northern fur seal), 1730 nucleotides. The record is from RefSeq and is a predicted model, not a curated record. Lineage: Eukaryota; Metazoa; Chordata; Mammalia; Carnivora; Otariidae.
AUGAUGACUAUAAACGUUUUAAAAGCGGAAGUUUCUGGUCUGUUUUCAGCUCUGCAGGAGGGAACACAUUAAGAACACAACUUCCUGGUGAGAUGAAAAGGCGAUUGGGCUGGAAAAUCCCGUGAGGGCACCGUUCUCUCUGUCUCUGGGGCUGACUUAAAGAGAAGCCGCCCUUUGAAACCCUUUCUGGAACCUCGUCUCUCUGCCCCGAGACAAAACAACGAAGCUGCCGCUCUCAGUUCAGAAAAGGCUCACAGGCCCCCAAGUACUGAACUGAAGAGGUUCUAAGCUACUAUGCUCCUAAUCCGAUAUGACUGGUGCCUUUCUGAAAAGAGAGCGCGAUUACAGGGAUGCGUGUGCUCACAGAGAGAGGGGACAUGGGGAGAAGCCAGCGUCGACGUGUCAAGGAGAGAGGCCUCGGGGGCAAUCAACCCUGCGCACACCUGGAUCUCAGCCUCCCAGCCUCCACAGCUGGGAGAGGGUAAAUGCCUGUGACUUGAGCCUCCCCAUCUUUGGUCCUUUGUUAUGGCCGCCCUAGGGCACCCAUACCCAAUAUAGUUGACUUUUCACCUCUCGUUGCGAAUAGGGGCUUCCCUUGAAGACAGGGCAAGCGUUAGUGUUUUCCAAGGGUCGUGCCCCUCGGUUUCCCUUGGGGGUGAUUUCAGCUCUGUAUUUAAAACACCAUGCCUGCCACCGGUAGACACCCUCAUCUGAUUGCCUCCUUUCCUCCCUAGCAGAACACCGUUUUGGUGGCAUCUAUGUGAGCCGGUAAAAGAGAGGAGAUGAGGCUGGAAAAGUCACGGACAACCUACAAGAACUACACGAAGCACCUGCGUGCUGUAUCAGGCUCCAGGGGGACCCUUUGGAGUUGUCCGACUCACCCUAUAGCACAGACCCAGCCUCAGUGCUCCAGGGUGGUGCUUCAUCUUUCUCUACACAUGACCCCCGCUGUCGCCAUGGAAACCUCAUCCUAAGAGACAAAGAUGGUGCCCACUACCCUGGGCAUCGGUACCCUCACACGUCAUUGACAGCCAGACGCCUGGGCACAACGCAAGUCAGUUUACGUAGGGAUGGAAAUAGCGGUGGCUAAGUUGUUGUAGGGAAGGUUAGCAAAGAAAACUAUUUAAUACGAUAUUUUUGAGAAGCUGUCUGCGGGUUCAGAGAAUAUUGUGUUGGUAUAUCUGUCACUGGAUUUAAGAAGCAGACAAGCUUCCCUGUACAAUUCUUCUCACUUCCCCAACAAAUCAGUUUGAUCAGUCUCAAUGACAACUGAAAGGUGUUUUAAGCACCUGUCACUCUAACAUGGUAGGUGGACACACCUCAGCAGGGUCUGUGUUUGAAGCAAGCUAACCCUCUGGUAGGAGUUGACACUCAUAUAUUCUACUGUCUCUACGAGAGUAUUUCUCAACGAAUACCCCAGGUAUCCCUGCAUUUUUUGGCAUUAUUUUCCUCUAUUUUCUUGUAAGACACUGUUGGCGAAGUGUGCAUUGUGGGGGACUUGAUGCUCACCUCAAUAACCCUAUCAGAUGAUUCUCCUUCUCUUUUCCACUUUGUGGACAUAUGGCAACCAAAGCCCUCUCUCCCGUGUGUAUGACAAGACUGGUGAGGGUCACCCUUACCUCCAUACUUUCCAUAAAGACAGAAGAAGAAGGAACACGGUCAGCAAGGCAACCGUGCCAGAAAUUAAAAUAAAUUUUGGGAAAAGCUUUUUCUCCUGGCAUGAAUCUAAA